AGGUACAUAUAGUCGGACUGAAAAUCCGCGUGUCGGCAGUUCGAUUCUGCCCCUGGCCACCA
Molecule: transfer RNA, 62 nt
Filed under: Thiomonas intermedia K12
Lineage: Bacteria; Pseudomonadati; Pseudomonadota; Betaproteobacteria; Burkholderiales
Description: tRNA-Und (NNN) (tRNA-Und-NNN-1-1)
Rfam family: tRNA
About the family: Transfer RNA (tRNA) molecules are approximately 80 nucleotides in length.
Source: RNAcentral